Molecule: ribosomal RNA, 337 nt
Filed under: Listeria monocytogenes
Lineage: Bacteria; Bacillati; Bacillota; Bacilli; Caryophanales; Listeriaceae
Description: bacterial SSU rRNA
Rfam family: Bacterial small subunit ribosomal RNA
Source: RNAcentral
UUUAAAGAGAGUUUGAUCCUGGCUCAGGACGAACGCUGGCGGCGUGCCUAAUACAUGCAAGUCGAACGAACGGAGGAAGAGCUUGCUCUUCCAAAGUUAGUGGCGGACGGGUGAGUAACACGUGGGCAACCUGCCUGUAAGUUGGGGAUAACUCCGGGAAACCGGGGCUAAUACCGAAUGAUAAAGUGUGGCGCAUGCCACGCUUUUGAAAGAUGGUUUCGGCUAUCGCUUACAGAUGGGCCCGCGGUGCAUUAGCUAGUUGGUAGGGUAAUGGCCUACCAAGGCAACGAUGCAUAGCCGACCUGAGAGGGUGAUCGGCCACACUGGGACUGAGACA